RNAcentral lists this ribosomal RNA (301 nucleotides) under uncultured bacterium. Its description in RNAcentral is "partial 16S ribosomal RNA". It matches the Rfam family "Bacterial small subunit ribosomal RNA", at positions 510 to 808 of the family's 1533-position model. The record is from RNAcentral.
CACAGCCGCGGUAAGACAGAGGAUGCAAGCGUUAUCCGGAAUGAUUGGGCGUAAAGCGCACGUAGGCGGUUAUUCAAGUCAGAGGUGAAAGCCCGGGGCUCAACCCCGGAACUGCCUUUGAAACUAGAUGACUAGAAUCUUGGAGAGGUCAGUGGAAUUCCGAGUGUAGAGGUGAAAUUCGUAGAUAUUCGGAAGAACACCAGUGGCGAAGGCGACACACUGGCUCAUUACUGACGCUGAGGCGCGAAAGCGUGGGGAGCAAACAGGAUUAGAUACCCCAGUAGUCCCUGUCUCUUAUACA